AUUUAGGUGAACCUGCGGAAGGAUCAUUACAAGUGAGGCUACCGAACGUUGGAAACAGCGGUUAGGAGCUUACACCCACCCGUGUUUACAUACUAUUGUUGCUUUGGCGGGCCGUGGCCUCCACUGCGGGCUCUGCUCGUGUGUGCCCGCCAGAGGACCAAACUCUGAAUGUUAGUGAUGUCUGAGUACUAUCUAAUAGUUAAAACUUUCAACAACGGAUCUCUUGGUUCUGGCAUCGAUGAAGAACGCAGCGAAAUGCGAUAAGUAAUGUGAAUUGCAGAAUUCAGUGAAUCAUCGAAUCUUUGAACGCACAUUGCGCCCUGUGGUAUUCCGCAGGGCAUGCCUGUUCGAGCGUCAUUUAACCACUCACGCCUAGCGUGGUAUUGGGGCACGCGGUCUCGCGGCCCUCAAAAUUAGUGGCGGCGCCGGUGGGCUCUAAGCGUAGUACAUACUCCCGCUAUAGAGUUCCCCCGGUGGCUCGCCAGAACCCCCAAUUUUUUACAGGUUGACCUCGGAUCAGGUAGGGAUACCCGCUGAACUUAAGCAUAUCAAUAAGCGGAGGA
This 563-nucleotide ribosomal RNA is filed under the name uncultured Phialocephala. RNAcentral describes it as "eukaryotic LSU rRNA". The stretch from base 204 to 357 matches the Rfam family "5.8S ribosomal RNA". Lineage: Eukaryota; Fungi; Ascomycota; Leotiomycetes; Helotiales. The record is from RNAcentral.